Molecule: non-coding RNA, 399 nt
Filed under: Stegodyphus mimosarum
Lineage: Eukaryota; Metazoa; Arthropoda; Arachnida; Araneae; Eresidae
Description: eukaryotic large subunit ribosomal RNA
Rfam family: Eukaryotic large subunit ribosomal RNA
Source: Rfam by way of RNAcentral
GAACAAUGUAGGUAAGGGAAGUCGGCAAGUUCGAUCCGUAACUUCGGGACAAGGAUUGGCUCUGAGGACUGGGCCCGUCGGGCUGGGGUCCGAAACGGGUGUGGCACUGCACCGGGACUGUGCGAGACUGGCCGUGAAAGCGGUCCGGUCCGGCCCCGACCAGCGUCGGGGCCUUCCCGUGGAAUGCCUCAGCUGCGCGGCGCACCGGGUACAAAGCUCGGAACGACCGUUUCGGCGGGCAACUAACAGCCGACUCAGAACUAGCACGGACUAAGGGAAUCCGACUGUCUAUAACAGAAACACAUCCCCAAGAAGGACGAUAACUUCUUAGCCGUAUUUGGCUCUGGAUAACUUUUAAUCGCUAAAAUUUUCGAAUUGUCAGUUUCUAUACCGUUUUUC